Molecule: ribosomal RNA, 508 nt
Filed under: Fusarium oxysporum
Lineage: Eukaryota; Fungi; Ascomycota; Sordariomycetes; Hypocreales; Nectriaceae
Description: eukaryotic LSU rRNA
Rfam family: 5.8S ribosomal RNA (bases 136-289)
Source: RNAcentral
ACUCCCAACCCCUGUGACAUACCACUUGUUGCCUCGGCGGAUCAGCCCGCUCCCGGUAAAACGGGACGGCCCGCCAGAGGACCCCUAAACUCUGUUUCUAUAUGUAACUUCUGAGUAAAACCAUAAAUAAAUCAAAACUUUCAACAACGGAUCUCUUGGUUCUGGCAUCGAUGAAGAACGCAGCAAAAUGCGAUAAGUAAUGUGAAUUGCAGAAUUCAGUGAAUCAUCGAAUCUUUGAACGCACAUUGCGCCCGCCAGUAUUCUGGCGGGCAUGCCUGUUCGAGCGUCAUUUCAACCCUCAAGCACAGCUUGGUGUUGGGACUCGCGUUAAUUCGCGUUCCCCAAAUUGAUUGGCGGUCACGUCGAGCUUCCAUAGCGUAGUAGUAAAACCCUCGUUACUGGUAAUCGUCGCGGCCACGCCGUUAAACCCCAACUUCUGAAUGUUGACCUCGGAUCAGGUAGGAAUACCCGCUGAACUUAAGCAUAUCAAUAAGCGGAGGAAAAGAAA